UGCAGUAAUGCUUGAGCAACAACCAUAUGAUAGAAGUGUCUUAUGACCAUCUUAUGACCCUUUUGUGUAAAGAUCAGGAGGUCUAAUGUCCAAGCUGUGGUUCUUACUGCUUGCCUUGCAUUUUGAAAUCAUCUCUGUCCAGUGCCUUAAGGUUACAUUAAGAUAAGAAGUUACUAAAGUUUAACUAACUUUGUUGAAAUUAAUCUUUUCUUCUGAGCAUGCUGCAAUUCUACCUUUGAGUGCGCACGUACUAACCCUGAUAAGUCACAUUAACCAAUAACUAGUUAAGUACAGCCUACAAGAUAAGACGUCACAAUUAGGAACUGGUACUGCAGCCAAUAAACUUCUAGUACGUCAAGACUGUUGAAUGUAAGCUAUAAAAAUGUGAUUCCAGGCCGGACUCAUCGUCGGCCCUGAUUUGAGCUCUCUGCUCCUCGGUCGAACUGUUUGCAAACAAUAAACCUGGAUGGACCCAGCCUGUAUGUGUGACUCUUUCCUUGAAGGGACUGAAGAGGAGGGGCCACUGCCUGCUGCACUGACACCCCUGGAGCUCAUGCGAGGGACAGCAGCACCAGGGACCACCCACAGGUCCUGUGCCAGAGACACAGAUGCAGUCCUGCUCCCUGAGACACCCCACCAGGAGCAGUGCGCACACGGUCCUCAGUACACACUGUACAAGUUACAGACUGUGUAGAUAAGUUCUCGAUGGUUUAUUACUUGGGGUAUCAAUGUAUUUAUGUAUUGUUUCUUUAUUUAUUGUGGGUAAUUUGUAUACCUUCCCCUAGUGUAAUGUGUAUCUAAAAAGCAUUAACCAUUAAGCCACCGUCACCAGGUCAUGUGGUGGAACAUUUGGUCUAUUGCAUUGGUUAUAUGCUACCUUGUAAAUAAUUAAAUCCUGUAAAUAGUUUUAUCAUGGUCUGCAAGGUUGUUUGAUUGUAAGGGGAGGCUCUCCACUCAGGGACCCUGCUACCCAAGGAGCUGAGUGGGGCCACUGGCUAUCGGGUACCCCAGGAUACCACUAUUCAGGUGAAGGCAUGGGUAGUGUCAUGCCCAGGGUUACAAAAUUAACAAAGCACUCCUUUGGCUGAAAAACCUACCAAUCUGUAGUGAAAAACUACAAACAACAGGAGGCCCUUACUGGAUUGAGGUUUACUUUAAUGAGAUGUGCAGUUGUCAUGGGAAGAUGGUGUGGCUCCACAUUCCGACAGAAUAAGCUCUUGUGGAAAGAAUUAGAUAGAUGAUCUAAAUCACUAGUUGUGACCUUGUUUGUUUUUUGAAGAAAUAAGAGGAAAAUGGAUUUCCAUUACUGGGAAAUUUUAACUACUGGACUAAUGAAGAAAAAACAAUCCAGCUUCUAUCUGGCAAUUAGGAGCCUGUCCUAGCUACUUAGGUGUAUUUGCACGACUUGCAUAAAGAAUAUGAGCUAAAAUUAAAUAGAAUUCUCCUGUUUUGUUUUAUUUUCCACUGCUUCAUUUUAUAUCAUCAUAUCCUAUGUUUUGUUUUAAUUUUGUGUGAAUUGGUCGAAUGUAUAAUCUUACUGUAUUGUUUUAGAAAAAAAUAUAAAUGACAUAAAUGCUGUUAUUUAAUUAUAGUAUAUUAGCUUAACUCAACACCAGCAGAUUCAAUAAGCAGUAUCACAUUUUUCUCUCUAUGCCAGUACCUGGUUUUCCUUCUUUUGCUAGGUGAAUAAUGCAUUUUUUGUGUAUUCAUAAGCUGGUGGUAUAUAGCCUUUUAUGAACAGGUAACUAAAUCCCUGGAUGAUGGUGCCACCAUGGACAUAGUCUUUCUGGACUUUAAGAAGGCCUUUGACACUGUCUCUCACCCUAUUCUCAUUAAUAAACUGAGCGACUGUGGCAUUGA
Molecule: long non-coding RNA, 1860 nt
Organism: Alligator mississippiensis (American alligator)
Lineage: Eukaryota; Metazoa; Chordata; Crocodylia; Alligatoridae
Exons: 2
Source: RefSeq, a predicted model, not a curated record